This 181-nucleotide non-coding RNA is filed under the name Methylobacter sp. RNAcentral's name for it is "6S RNA". It matches the Rfam family "6S / SsrS RNA". From Rfam's summary of the family: E. coli 6S RNA was the first non coding RNA to be sequenced, but its function was unknown until recently. It consists of 184 nucleotides that fold into an extended hairpin structure with a large single-stranded internal bulge. Lineage: Bacteria; Pseudomonadati; Pseudomonadota; Gammaproteobacteria; Methylococcales; Methylococcaceae. The record is from RNAcentral.
UAUCUCCUGCCGUGUUUGACAGUGUGCUGGGUGUUUCCUGAACCUGUAUUAACCCCGGGGGCUGAUGCCUGGCCAUGGUGCGCAUGCUUGUUUUAGACAAGAAGCCUGAUUGGCCUGCCGUGUCCCCACUUGAACCAUUGGUUCAAGGACGAAAGCGCGCAUCGGCACAGGUGGGAGAUGC